Molecule: ribosomal RNA, 474 nt
Filed under: uncultured bacterium
Lineage: Bacteria
Description: bacterial SSU rRNA
Rfam family: Bacterial small subunit ribosomal RNA
Source: RNAcentral
CAGGCCUAACACAUGCAAGUCGAGCGGUAACAUUUCUAGCUUGCUAGAAGAUGACGAGCGGCGGACGGGUGAGUAACGCGUAGAAAUCUACCUAGUAGUGGGGGAUAGCCCAGAGAAAUUUGGAUUAAUACCGCAUACGCCCUGCGGGGGAAAGCGGGGGAUCUUCGGACCUCGUGCUAUUAGAUGAGUCUGCGUCGGAUUAGCUUGUUGGUGAGGUAAUGGCUCACCAAGGCGACGAUCCGUAGCUGGUCUGAGAGGAUGACCAGCCACACUGGAACUGAGACACGGUCCAGACUCCUACGGGAGGCAGCAGUGGGGAAUAUUGCACAAUGGGCGCAAGCCUGAUGCAGCCAUGCCGCGUGUGCGAAGAAGGCCGUUAGGGUUGUAAAGCACUUUCAGCAGUGAGGAAAGGGGUGUCGUUAAUAGCGCCAUCCUGUGACGUUAACUGCAGAAGAAGGACCGGCUAACUCCGUG